AGGAAGCGAGCAGCGCCAGCGAGAAGGCACGGGUGACGAUGCUU
RNAcentral lists this non-coding RNA (44 nucleotides) under Alexandrium catenella. The record is from RNAcentral. Lineage: Eukaryota; Dinophyceae; Gonyaulacales; Pyrocystaceae.